RNAcentral lists this ribosomal RNA (207 nucleotides) under Escherichia coli. RNAcentral describes it as "partial 23S ribosomal RNA". It matches the Rfam family "Bacterial large subunit ribosomal RNA", at positions 2741 to 2925 of the family's 2925-position model. The record is from RNAcentral. Lineage: Bacteria; Pseudomonadati; Pseudomonadota; Gammaproteobacteria; Enterobacterales; Enterobacteriaceae.
CCCGGUAGCUAAAUGCGGAAGAGAUAAGUGCUGAAAGCAUCUAAGCACGAAACUUGCCCCGAGAUGAGUUCUCCCUGACCCUUUAAGGGUCCUGAAGGAACGUUGAAGACGACGACGUUGAUAGGCCGGGUGUGUAAGCGCAGCGAUGCGUUGAGCUAACCGGUACUAAUGAACCGUGAGGCUUAACCUUACAACGCCGAAGCUGUU